This 494-nucleotide ribosomal RNA is filed under the name uncultured bacterium. RNAcentral's name for it is "partial 16S ribosomal RNA". It matches the Rfam family "Bacterial small subunit ribosomal RNA", at positions 39 to 523 of the family's 1533-position model. The record is from RNAcentral.
GCGGCAUGCCUAACACAUGCAAGUCGAACGGCAGCACAGUAAAGACUUCGGUCUUUAUGGGUGGCGAGUGGCGGACGGGUGAGUAACACGUGAGCAAUCUGCCGAUCUCUGGGGGAUAGCCGGCCCAACGGCCGGGUAAUACCGCAUACGCUCAUCGGGGGACAUCCCCUGGUGAGGAAACCUCCGGGGGAGAUCGAGGAGCUCGCGACCUAUCAGCUAGUUGGUGAGGUAACGGCUCACCAAGGCGACGACGGGUAGCUGGUCUGAGAGGAUGGCCAGCCACAUUGGGACUGCGACACGGCCCAGACUCCUACGGGAGGCAGCAGUGGGGAAUAUUGCGCGAUGGACGAAAGUCUGACGCAGCGACGCCGCGUGUGGGAUGAAGCUCUUCGGGGUGUAAACCACUGUUGCCAGGGAAGAACCUCCUGAUUUUUCAGGACUGACGGUACCUGGUGAGGAAGCACCGGCUAACUCUGUGCCAGCCGCCGCGGUAA